This 215-nucleotide long non-coding RNA is filed under the name Vigna radiata. Its description in RNAcentral is "long non-coding RNA (VRAD_LNC004952)". The record is from RNAcentral. Lineage: Eukaryota; Viridiplantae; Streptophyta; Magnoliopsida; Fabales; Fabaceae.
GCACUGUUAGCGAAGGGAACCUUGAUAUGACAUUUGGCCUUGGGUUUGAAGUCACUAGAGAUAACAUCCCAAAGUCUGUAUCGAAUCCUAAAGUUGAGCCUCACAUAAAAUUCGUAAGCGCCUUCACUAUUGUCUUGUUCAACUGAGACACUUGUUCAUUGUCUAGUGUCACCACCUGUUGGCCCGAGAAAACAGCGCUCAUAGGGCUGCUGCUC